RNAcentral lists this small RNA (542 nucleotides) under Pan troglodytes (chimpanzee). RNAcentral describes it as "retained intron". Lineage: Eukaryota; Metazoa; Chordata; Mammalia; Primates; Hominidae. The record is from RNAcentral.
GCGUGCGCGGGUCACGUGAGGGCGCGGCGCGGCAGCAGCUGCGGCGGCCGAGACGGGGGCGGCGGCCGCGCGGGUCUGGCGGGACCGGUUUGGAAGAAUUUGCCGCCCUGCAGAUUGGCCUUAAGAGAAGGACGGAGCCACAUACUGCUGACGGCCCAGAACUGGCAGACAGAAGGUUGCCAUGGCUGCUGUUGACAGUUUCUACCUCUUGUACAGGGAAAUCGCCAGGUCUUGCAAUUGCUAUAUGGAAGCUCUAGCUUUGGUUGGAGCCUGGUAUACGGCCAGAAAAAGCAUCACUGUCAUCUGUGACUUUUACAGCCUGAUCAGGCUGCAUUUUAUCCCCCGCCUGGGGAGCAGAGCAGACUUGAUCAAGCAGUAUGGAAGAUGGGCCGUUGUCAGCGGUAACCUACUUUAUAAUCAAAAUAAUCUUUUCUGUGAAGUCGGAUGCAUUAUUCAAGGAGCUCUUGAAUUUAAUGUGGUGUUUUUAUGGGAACAUGCUGAUAAAAAAAUAAAACUUAUGGCUCCUGCCGUGAUUAUGUUCA